RNAcentral lists this ribosomal RNA (468 nucleotides) under uncultured bacterium. Its description in RNAcentral is "partial 16S ribosomal RNA". It matches the Rfam family "Bacterial small subunit ribosomal RNA", at positions 28 to 507 of the family's 1533-position model. The record is from RNAcentral.
GACGAACGCUGGCGGCGUGCUUAACACAUGCAAGUCGAACGGAAAGGCCCUGCUUUUUUGGGGUGCUCGAGUGGCGAACGGGUGAGUAACCCGUGAGUAACCUGCCCUUGACUUUGGGAUAUCUUCAGGCAACUGGGGCUAAUACCGGAUAGGAGCUCCUGCUGCAUGGUGGGGGUUGGAAAGUUUCGGAGGUUGGGGAUGGACUGGCGGCUUAUCAGCUUGUUGGUGGGGUAGUGGCUUACCAAGGCUUUGACGGGUAGCCGGCCCGGGAGGGUGACCGGCCACAUUGGGACUGCGAUACGGCCCAGACGCCUACGGGGGGCAGCAGUGGGGAAUAUUGCACAGUGGGCGGAAGCCUGAUGCAGCAACGCCGCGUGCGGGAUGACGGCCUUCGGGUUGUAAACCGCUUUCGCCUGUGACGAAGCGUGAGUGACGGUAAUGGGUGAAGAAGCACCGGCUAACUACGUG